AUGUUCUCUCCAUCUCUCCUGCUCCUGCUGGCAGCUGCUUCCUACGUGCACGGUGAGGAACUGACUCAGCCUGCUUCCAUGACAGUCCAGCCAGGCCAGAGUCUCUCCAUUCACUGCAAGGUUUCAUACUCAGUUACGAGCUAUAGUACAGCUUGGAUCCAGCAACCUGCAGGAAAAUCUCUGGAGUGGAUUGGAACCAUCAGUGAUGGUGGAAGUCCAUAUUACAGUGAGAAACUAAAAAAUAGACCCCCCAUAAUCUGGCCCUGGUUCAGCAUCUCCAGAGACACUGCUACUAACACAAUAACAAUUCGAGGACAGAAUCUGCAGACUGAAGACACAGCUGUGUAUUACUGCGCGAGAUACACACACCUCUUUACUCACUGUGACUACUACUACAGCUACGGCUACUUUAACUACUGGGGAAAAGGAACUCAAGUGACCGUGACUUCAGCAGUGCCAAGCGCGCCGAAGUCCCUGUUUCCCGUGUGGCAGUGCGGCUCGUCCCCGGACGGUUACGUCACUCUGGGCUGCAUCACGAGCGAUUUGGCCACCGCCGACGGACUGAGCUUCAAAUGGACGGAUGCGAGCGGGAGCGCGCUGACUGACUUCGUGCAAUACCCGGCGGUGCGCGCGACCGGAGGCUUCACCUCGGUGAGCAACGCGCGCGUCAAGGCUGCCGACUGGGACCAGAGCAAGAAGUUCACGUGCCAAGUGGAAAAUAGCCUCGGUUCCAAAGAAGCGACCUUACAAAAGAUAGAUGUGAUCGAGCACCCCCCUACAUCUCUGCUUCUAACAACUCCCACCCAAAAAGAACUAGACAAUGGAACAGCUACCUUCAUCUGCUUAGCUGCACAUUUUUCGCCUAAAUCACACACGUUUAAGUGGACUCUUGAAAACCAGGACCUCGGUUCGAAGGUCAAAGACACCAUAUUAAGCCAGGAUAAAGGUGCUUACACUGCCAUAAGUAUUUUGGAAAUCGGGGCCUACGAAUGGACGGGUCCAGUGAAGUGCGAAUUCCAGCAGAAGAAAUGGAAAGGAUCCGAAGAGGCGAAUUAUGUGUCAGUUCCAAAGCAGCCCGAGGUGAUCAUCUUCCCACCUUCCACCAGGGACAUACUGUUCGAUCGCGCCGGCGAGCUCGAGUGCAGGACCGACUUGGAUUCGGGUUUCAAGAGCAUUAAAUGGAUUAAUGACGAGGGUGAGGAGCUCUCUUCUGUCAAAAAAGUCUCAACGGAUUCCAAAGUCAGACUCAUCACCUCGAUCAGUUUCGAUGACUGGAGCAAAGGCACCAAUUUCACCUGCGAGGUGGAAAAUUCAGCGUUCAUCCAGCAGUAUAAAUCAGUCGUCUACCAAAGAACGAGUGUAAUAGAUGGCCUGAGGUUGACCGAGAUGUUCUACCAUGAGACAGAUAUGGAGGAUGACAGCAUGGUAAACACUGCCUUGACGUUUGUGUUCCUCUUCCUCAUCACCCUCUUCUACAGCAUCGGAGUGACUGUUAUCAAGGUGAAAUGAAGACAGAAACUGCGCGGAAACGAGUUUGGUUUUCUCUCUGUUUCUUCAUGAUACUGUUCUGAGUUAUACUUUCUGCUGUUGCCUACUCGCCUACUUUCCACAUAUUUUAUAUCUGUAAAUACCUUUUGGACAUUUAAAUGUUGGACUUUUUUCAUGCUUUUACUCAAAUCUCAAAUAAAGGUCUUUGAAAAAUA
Molecule: non-coding RNA, 1703 nt
Organism: Neoarius graeffei (lesser salmon catfish)
Lineage: Eukaryota; Metazoa; Chordata; Actinopteri; Siluriformes; Ariidae
Source: the annotation of a RefSeq genome assembly